Molecule: ribosomal RNA, 279 nt
Filed under: uncultured bacterium
Lineage: Bacteria
Description: partial 16S ribosomal RNA
Rfam family: Bacterial small subunit ribosomal RNA
Source: RNAcentral
UGCCAGCCGCCGCGGUAAUACGAAGGGGGCUAGCGUUGUUCGGAAUUACUGGGCGUAAAGCGCACGUAGGCGGACUUUUAAGUCAGAUGUGAAAUCCCGGGGCUCAACCUCGGAACUGCAUUUGAAACUGGAAGUCUGGAGUUCAGGAGAGGUUAGCGGAAUACCGAGUGUAGAGGUGAAAUUCGUAGAUAUUCGGUGGAACACCAGUGGCGAAGGCGGCUAACUGGACUGAUACUGACGCUGAGGUGCGAAAGUGUGGGGAGCAAACAGGAUUAGAUA